AUCCAGCUGGUGGACGAGUCCCAAAUAGGACGAAAUGCGCGUUAUCCUGGAU
Molecule: non-coding RNA, 52 nt
Organism: Trichobilharzia regenti
Lineage: Eukaryota; Metazoa; Platyhelminthes; Trematoda; Strigeidida; Schistosomatidae
Source: Rfam